GGCACUUGAUCCAAAGAGAGCCUCUGAAAUGGCUGCACCCGAUAUCUCAGCAGGUUACCCCAUAGAGUGUUGAGUGGGCAACUCAAUUAUUCCCUCACCUGAAGAAGUCUGAAAGCAAGACGAAGAGAGUCCUUUUGCAAGAGUGAUGUACAAAGCCCUACGGACAUACAGACUUCGUGUGCAAGUCCUGUGGAGGAGAGGAGAUGAGAGAGCAAUCGAGUCAAGGUCUCACUAGGAUGUCCAGGCUGGCCUCGAACUCCUGGGCUCAAGCAAUCCACCUGCCUUGGCCUCUGAAAGUGCAGGAAUUACAGCUGCUGUGCCCUGAGGGGUGAGGGAAAUGUGGUCGCCUAAAACACCAUCAAAGGUUGCUGCUUAAACACUUCCCUCAGCCAUAUAUGAAGGCUAAAUCAGAUAAAGAUCCCAGGAAGUGUGCAACAGGAGAACCAGUGACACAAUCCACCUUGGUAUGAGUGUCAGCCAUCUUGUCUUUCAACUGGAAAGCUAGAAGUGACAGCAUGGUAUAUUAAGAGGUCUCUGCUUGAAUAAAUUGAUGUCAAGUUUUAUUACAUAUAGACCAAGCUAGAAGGCACAAGACAACCACUCAACAACUAUGUAUUAAACAACGAAAUCAACGAAAUGGCAUACAGCAGUAUUUCAAAUUCUUGAAAUACAGAUAGGGACAGGCAAAAACUGUAUUCUCUAGAAGGCUGAAGUCAGCCAAAGAAAAUGCACAGUAAACACAAAUCGAGAUAUUUAUAAGA
Long non-coding RNA from Homo sapiens (human), 761 nucleotides. The record is from Ensembl. Lineage: Eukaryota; Metazoa; Chordata; Mammalia; Primates; Hominidae.